GACGAACGCUGGCGGCGUGCUUAACACAUGCAAGUCGAACGAAGAGCGACGGAAGCUUGCUUCUAUCAAUCUUAGUGGCGCACGGGUGAGUAACGCGUAAUCAACCUGCCCUUCAGAGGGGGACAACAGUUGGAAACGACUGCUAAUACCGCAUACGAUCUAACCUCGGCAUCGAGGAUAGAUGAAAGGUGGCCUCUACAUGUAAGCUAUCACUGAAGGAGGGGAUUGCGUCUGAUUAGCUAGUUGGAGGGGUAACGGCCCACCAAGGCGAUGAUCAGUAGCCGGUCUGAGAGGAUGAACGGCCACAUUGGGACUGAGACACGGCCCAGACUCCUACGGGAGGCAGCAGUGGGGAAUCUUCCGCAAUGGACGAAAGUCUGACGGAGCAACGCCGCGUGAGUGAUGACGGCCUUCGGGUUGUAAAGCUCUGUUAAUCGGGACGAAAGGCCUUCUUGCGAAUAGUGAGAAGGAUUGACGGUACCGGAAGAGAAAGCCACGGCUAACUACGUG
This 510-nucleotide ribosomal RNA is filed under the name uncultured bacterium. RNAcentral describes it as "partial 16S ribosomal RNA". It matches the Rfam family "Bacterial small subunit ribosomal RNA", at positions 28 to 507 of the family's 1533-position model. The record is from RNAcentral.